Long non-coding RNA from Lolium rigidum, 583 nucleotides. RefSeq lists it as uncharacterized. The record is from RefSeq and is a predicted model, not a curated record. The transcript has 3 exons. Lineage: Eukaryota; Viridiplantae; Streptophyta; Magnoliopsida; Poales; Poaceae.
AGGUCGAAAUCGGCGGCGGCGUCCGCCUCCAUUGAGAAGAGGAUGGAAGGUGGCGCGCCGUGCGGGGUGAAGCUUCUGCAUACCCUGAACGUGGGUGGUCGCUGUGCUGUGGCGGCGGGGUGGCGUUGCAGUCACGGGUCUUGACAAGGAGCGGAGUGGGGGCGGCGGUGGUGACGGAUUUGAGGCGACGACGUCCUUCCACGCCAGUGUCGAAGAUCUCCAGGCAAAUGUGAUGGGGCAACUGCGCGACACGGCGUACCAUCAGGUCACGGCAUGCUCCAGUCCUCCCAUUGUUGACAGAUAUUGGGUGUUCCUCAAUCCUCAUCUAGUAGAGCGAUCCUAUCUUCUUCAGUGGGGGAUCCCCCAUCACGUGAUUCACGCCGAGUCUUCCGCAUCAGCAAUUGUCCACAUCUUUUUGCGCAAGCAACAGUGGGAAGUAAGUUGAUCAGGCCUGUUGUAGUGGAGUUGGGCAACUGCUCUCUUUGCCUUGCUGCCAUCUUGCUCCACAAAUAAAUUUUUCAUGCUGCUCAUGUGUUCUGGCAAGUUCAGUUGGCCGUUUGAAGCUGGUGGCAAGGAAAUGUGG